Molecule: transfer RNA, 73 nt
Filed under: Stigeoclonium helveticum
Lineage: Eukaryota; Viridiplantae; Chlorophyta; Chlorophyceae; Chaetophorales; Chaetophoraceae
Description: tRNA-Val
Rfam family: tRNA
About the family: Transfer RNA (tRNA) molecules are approximately 80 nucleotides in length. Their secondary structure includes four short double-helical elements and three loops (D, anti-codon, and T loops).
Source: RNAcentral
GGGCGCAUAACUCAGAUGGUAGAGUGCCUGUUUUACAAGCAGGAUGUCGUUGGUUCAAAUCCAGCUGCGCUCA